RNAcentral lists this ribosomal RNA (16 nucleotides) under Lodderomyces orthopsilosis. RNAcentral describes it as "Candida orthopsilosis partial 18S ribosomal RNA". Lineage: Eukaryota; Fungi; Ascomycota; Pichiomycetes; Serinales; Debaryomycetaceae. The record is from RNAcentral.
AUCGGAAGGAUCAUUA